Molecule: small nuclear RNA, 277 nt
Filed under: Sus scrofa (pig)
Lineage: Eukaryota; Metazoa; Chordata; Mammalia; Artiodactyla; Suidae
Description: 7SK RNA (ENSSSCG00070002586.1)
Rfam family: 7SK RNA
About the family: 7SK was discovered as an abundant small nuclear RNA in the mid-70s but a possible function has only recently been suggested.
Source: RNAcentral
GGAUGUGAGGCGAUCUGGCGGGGACAUCCGUCACCCCACUGAUCACCACGGUUGAUUCGGCCGAUCUGACUGGCUAGGCAGGUGUCCCCUUCCACCCCCACCACUCCAUGUGCAUCCCUAGUGAAGCUGCGAAAAGGUUGACCGUCCCCGAUAGAGGAGAACCAUUCUUCCGUCAAGGGUAUAUAAGUAGCUGCGCUCCCCCUCUAGAACCUCCAAACAAGCUCUCGAAGGGUUUCCUAAGAUCUAAAAAAGUCAUGCAGGUAAAUGCUUUUGCCCU